This is a long non-coding RNA of Homo sapiens (human), 3855 nucleotides long. RefSeq lists it as uncharacterized. The transcript is spliced from 2 exons. The record is from RefSeq and is a predicted model, not a curated record. NCBI's taxonomy places the organism in Eukaryota, Metazoa, Chordata, Mammalia, Primates, Hominidae.
GGGGUUGCUUAUACAUUCUAAAGGAGAGGUCGGAAUGAGUUUUUAAGACACAAAGAAGGAAAAAAGCCUUCCAGGUAAGGGGAAUAAAUAACACAGAGAGAAGUAAGGAAGGAAGAGACAGCAGGCUUACUCUUGAGGUGCCAGAAGGUGAAGUUGCCCAGGCAAGUAUAAAGAUGGAUUUGACAGUUGGUGGGGGACAGGGGUUGGUGGGGGAGGAGAAUGUUAGUAAGAAUGACAAGACCGGCCAAAAAUGCAUUUUUGUGGGAAUGCAGGUGAGAGAUGACGUGGCUAUGAAGUUAGGCAGUGUUAGACAAAAGGGAGCCAGAUUCUAGAGAAACUAAGGAAGUAGAUCAGCAGGCUGGAUGACUGCCUGACUAGAUAUGGGGAGACGCGAGCGGGAAGUGAGCCUACGCUGACUCUCAGGUUUCUGGCUUACUUAAAGGAGAUGACGGUGGCUUUUAUCAAAACAGAACACAGGAGUGGGAGCAGAUCUUGGGAGGAGCUUGAAGAAAGAUGAUGAGUUUAGUUACAGACUGAUUUUCAAGUGCUAUGGGUCAUCCAGGUGAAGAUGUUCAGUAAUUUAACAAAUAUGUAUCAAGUGUCUCCUAUGUGCUAGGCACUGAUGAGUAUUUGAGGAGAGAGAUUUGGGAGUGAUUUGGGUAUCAUCAAUGUAUCAUAAAAGUUGAAGUCUUGGGAGGGGACAAUCCCACAUUCAGAGACGUGAUGUAGAUUAAGCCAAGAGAGGACUAAGGACAGGACUCAUCUCUGGGAAUGCCAAUAUUUAGGGGGCAGACUUGAGUUGCCAGAACAGAGACCAAAGAGGAGCUGCCAGAAAGGAAAGAAAACGCUUCUGGAGGAGAGUGUCCAAAAAGCCAAGGAAAGAACAAACUUCAGGAAAGAGGGAGAGGCCAACAACAUGGAAUUUCGAGGAGGUCAAUUAAGACCACUGAGUUUUGCAAGAAUAAGGUGCUCAUUAUAAAGCAUCUGAGGAGUUCAGAAGAGCACCAAGAAAUUUAAAAACUAAAGUCCUAAUACCUGUCUUCGACAUUAGGUGAACAUUCCAGACAUAUAUACAGACAGAAGACCACAUGGAUGACUUAUCAAGAAACGAAAAAUGUUUACAAAAAUGAGAUCCCACUACAGUAUUAUUUUUAUUUAUUUAUUUUUAUUUUUAUGUUUUUGAGACAGUCUUGCUGUUGCCCAGGCUGGGGUGCAGUGGCAUGAUCUAGGCUCACUGCAACGUCCGCCUCCUGAGUUCAAGCAAUUAUCCUGCCUCAGCCUCCCAAACUGGGAUUACAAACAUGUGCCACCACGCCCAGCUAAUUUUUCUGGGGUUUUUUUUUUCGUAGAGACGGGGUUUCACCAUGUUGGCCAGGCUGGUUUUGAACUCCUGACCUCAAGUGAUUCUCCCGUCUUGGCCUCCGAAAGUGCUAGGAUUAUGGGCGUGAGCCACUGCACCCAGCCUAUUUUAUUUAUUUUUCAGAAAAAGUCUCACUCUGGCCCAGGCUGGAGUGCAGUGGCACAAUCAUAGCUCACAGCAGCCUCCAACUCCUGGGCUCAAGCAGUCCUUCCACCUCAGCCUCCCAAGUAGCUGGGACUACAGGCCCAUGCCACCAGGCCUGGCUAAUUUUUUAAAAAAUAUAUUUUUAAGGCUGGGCACGGUGGCUCACGCCUGUAAUCCCAGCACUUUGGGAGGCAGAUCACUUGAGGCCAGGAAUUCAAGACCAGCCUGGCCAACAUGGUGAAACCCCGUCUCUACUAAAAAUACAAAACUUAGCCAGGAAUGGUGGCGCAUGCCUGUAAUCCCAGCUACUCAGAAAAAAAAAUUAUUUUUAGUAGAGAUGAGGUCUUGCUAUGUUGCACAGGCUGGCCUCAAACUCCUGGCUUCUAGCUAUCCUCCUACCUUGGUCUCCCAAAGUGCUGUGAUUACAGGCAUGAGCCACGGUGCCUGGCCCUGUGUUGUUUUACUGUUUAAAACUGUUUUACUGUUUACUGUUUAAAAACAGUAAAUAAGGUUAGGCAGAUGGCUCACGCCUGUAAUCCCAGCACUUUGGGAGGCCAAGAUGGGAGGAUUGUUUGAGCCCAGGAGUUCAAGACCAGCCUUGGGCAACAUAGCAAGACCUGAUCUCUACAAAAAACAGCUAGGCCUGGUGGUACACACCUGUAGUCCCAGCUACUUGGGAGGCUGAAGCAAGAGGAUGGCUUGAGCCUGGAAAGCAGAGGCUGCCUAGCCGAGAUCGUACCACUGCACUCCAGCCUGGGUGCCAGAGCAAGACCCUGCCUCAAAAAAAAAUAAAAAAGAAUUAGCUGUGCAAUUCAGAGUCAGCUAUGGCCUGAACGGAUUAAGAAGCUGGGGUGCCCUAGACUGGUGUUUGGGGAGAGUCCUGGGUUGGAAGGAGAUGACUGUAGUCUAGGCUGACCACAUGCAGACUCCUAGGUGACUUAUAGGGCUCAUCUGGGUGUGCUCAGGCUGGUGGGCAGAGGCCACGGUGGUGCUCCGCCUGGGGCUGAGGCAGAGCGUAACCCUGAUCCACUCCUGGAAAGCCAAGAAGCAUCCUAUGGCACACGUUCUAGUUUAGACAUACCUGCUGGGGAGCGUGCUUUGCAACAUGGAGGAGGGAGCACUUCUUCCUGGCAGGACACCCUGGGUCCUCAGAGGCACUCCAAGGUGCUCCAAAGUAUGACAGCUUUUACUAUUUUACUGCUGUUUACACUGCAGAAUAUAUGAAAGCCACACUCUCUUUUCGGGGAUAGAGACCCCUUGUUAGCCCUCCACUGAGAAGCAGUGGAGAAACUCUGAUAAACAAUGAUUGACUAAAUGCAUAUUCUGUGCCAAGAGCUUUUCAUAUACUAUACUAAGUCAUUCAAUGUAGUGACUAUAUAGUCAGUAUUCUUGCCCCUGCUUUAUACGUGAAGAAACUAUGCUUCAGAGAAAGCAGUUUGCCCAUGGUUGUCCUCAAGCAGAUGGAAUCCAAACCCACCGGGCAUGGUGGCCACACCUGUAAUCACAGCACUUUGGGAGACCAAGGUGAGAGGAUCACAUGAGCCCAGGAGUUCAAGACCAGCCUAGGCAACAUAGGAAGACCCUGUCUCUACAAAAAAUAAAAAUAAUAAAAGUAAAUGAGCUAGCGUGAUGGCACACACCUGAAGUCCCAGCUACUCCAGAGGCUGAGACAGAAGAAUCACUUGAGUCCAAGAGGUUGAGGCUGCAGUAGCCGUGAUUGUGCCACUGCCCUCCAGCCUCAGUGACAGACUGAGACCCUGUCUCAAAAAAAGAAAGAAUCCAGCCAGGCGCCGUGGCUCAAGCCUGUAAUCCCAGCACUUUGGGAGGCCAAGGCAGGCGGAACACUUGAGGCCAAGAGUUCAAGACCAGCCUGGCCAAUGUGGUGACACCCCGUCUCUACUAAAAAUAUAAAAAUUAGCCGGGCGUAAUGAUGGGCGCCUGUAAUCCCAGCUACUCGGGAAGCUGAGGCAGGAGAAUCGCUUGAACCUGGGAGGCGGAGUUUGCAGUGAGCCAAGAUCGCACCACUACACUCCAGCCUGAGCAACAGAGCAAGACUCCAUCUCAAAAAAAAGAAAAAAAAUCCAGGUCCAGGUCUGUCAGAUUCAAAGCCCAUUCACUUCCCGGCUUUCCGGCCCCUCUAUUCUUUGCCUCUACCCAGUAAAACAAUUGCAUGGGGUGGGAGGAGAGGUGUGGCUGUUAUUGUUGCUUUCCUUUUAGCUUCUUUUAACAGAAUGCAAGACGAUUUUUGCUCUCGCAGCAACUAAAGUGAGUUUUAUCCAAGCAAUGCUGGGGAAUCAAGUUUGUGAAACUCUUCCUAUGAAAUAUUAAAAAGGUCAAUGCCACAAAUGCGA